This 345-nucleotide ribosomal RNA is filed under the name uncultured bacterium. Its description in RNAcentral is "partial 16S ribosomal RNA". It matches the Rfam family "Bacterial small subunit ribosomal RNA", at positions 338 to 680 of the family's 1533-position model. The record is from RNAcentral.
CCUACGGGUGGCAGCAGUGAGGAAUAUUGGUCAAUGGGCGCGAGCCUGAACCAGCCAAGUAGCGUGAAGGAUGACUGCCCUACGGGUUGUAAACUUCUGUUAUAAAGGAAUAAAGUGAGGCACGUGUGCCUUUUUGUAUGUACUUUAUGAAUAAGGAUCGGCUAACUCCGUGCCAGCAGCCGCGGUAAUACGGAGGAACCGAGCGUUAUCCGGAUUUAUUGGGUUUACAGGGAGCGUAGAUGGGUUGUUAAGUCAGUUGUGAAAGUUUUCGGCUCAACCGUAAAAUUGCAAUUGAUACGGGCAGCCUUGAGUACUGUUGAGGUAGGCGGACUUCGUGGUGUAGCG